This 465-nucleotide ribosomal RNA is filed under the name uncultured bacterium. Its description in RNAcentral is "partial 16S ribosomal RNA". It matches the Rfam family "Bacterial small subunit ribosomal RNA", at positions 28 to 523 of the family's 1533-position model. The record is from RNAcentral.
GAUGAACGCUGGCGGCGUGCCUAAUACAUGCAAGUCGAGCGGCAGCACGGUCUUCGGACUGGUGGCGAGCGGCGGACGGCUGAGUAACGCGUAGGAACAUGCCCCAAAGUGAGGAAUAACUGCCCGAAAGGGUGGCUAAUACCGCAUAGUCUCUUAGGAGUAAAGUCUUCGGACGCUUUGGGAGGAGCCUGCGUUAGAUUAGGUAGUUGGUAGGGUAAUGGCCUACCAAGCCUACGAUCUAUAGCUGGUCUGAGAGGAUGAUCAGCCAGACUGGGACUGAGACACGGCCCAGACUCCUAAGGGAGGCAGCAGUGAGGAAUAUUGCGCAAUGGGGGAAACCCUGACGCAGCAAUACCGCGUGAGUGAAGAAGGUUUUCGGAUCGUAAAACUCUUUUAUUGGGGAAGAAGAAGUGACGGUACCCAAUGAAGAAGUCCCGGCUAACUACGUGCCAGCCGCCGCGGUAA